AUUGCUGGCUUAGCUCCAAAGGUUGUAUUGAGAUUAGGGUGUACCUUCGCCUCUCAAUCAGCCUCCCGUCCUCAGCCUUGCCAUCUCGCUAGUCCGGGACAAAUCCCUAGAGCGUCUUCCUCUGCGGGUCUCAGCCCAGCCCGGGGUUGGCUCCUCCUCCGCCCCGGCUUCCGCGCCCCUCCCGUGUGGCAAGGAGUACCAGGCCCGGGGACCCCGAGGGGCUUGGGGCGAAGGGUCGGGACUGGGGGCCUCCUUAACGGCUCACGGACUUGCGAGAGGUUCGGCUCGAUGGCCGUGAAAGCGACGAAUCCGCUCCUGUGCUGGCCUCUUGGCUCCUUCCAUUCAAAGCCAGCUGCUUUUAUGGAAGCCCGUAACACGUCAUCUCCCCCUGGUACUCCAGAUGUCCAGGCUUUCAGUUUAGAAUAGACUCAGUCCUACAGUUAGCUUUAGAUCUAAUUCUAGUUUUGUUACGCCAAAAAGUUCCUGCGAGUGUGUGUGUGUGCCUCAUGGUACUUUUUAAAUUAAAAGGUGUACAGUUAUUUGAUUGCAAACAUAAGGAACCUAAAAUGCUUUCAGAUUUUCCACAUGAUCUCAUGUAGAGGCUAAGAUCUACAGCAUCAGCAAGUUUAUCCACCCAGUUUCCUAACCCCAACACUUGCUAUGAAGUCACAGCUUCUCCUAUUUAAAUAAGUGCCUAUUAUAUUUAAAUAAGUGCUGUCGUUUUCUGUCAUCCUAUCGAUUGUAACUGCAUUUUAGCAUAAAUCUAGGGCAAGAUUGGAUGAGCUUGGCCUUUUUGGAUGGCUAUCAAGGCAGGCCUUGGGAAAUGCUCCUCUGAGGAAAGAAGAACGUUUAUUUUUAAUGAGCUAAUUACUAGAUCAUUAUGUUUCUUCUUCCAGCUGUAGAAUAUCAUUGCCCAGCUUCUCGAACAAACUUAUUUAUUAACAAGUAUUUGAGAACCUACUAUGUGGCCAACGCUAAGUACUGUGGAGUUCCUUCUGGAGAGGAAACCACAAUCAAAUUGGAAGAGGAAAACAAGUUGGGAAGCAGUUGAAGGCAAACGCUAUGGUGCUUUCUUGGUUUCUGUAUCUUUGUAGUGUAGUUUUUCUAGUCCUUUCAGUUUUCACAGUCCACUUUUUUUUCUUUCUUUCUUUUUUUUUUUUUUUUUUGAGACGGAGUUCUACUCUGUUGCCCAGGCUGGAGUGCAGUGGCGCGAUCUCGGCUCACUGCAAGCUCUGCCUCCCGAGUUCAAGCGAUUCCUCCUGCCUCAGCCUCCCAAGUAGCUGGGACUACAAGCGCGCCCCACAAAUUUUUGUAUUUUUAGAAGAGACGGGGGUUUCACCAUGUUGGCCAGGCUGGUCUCGAACUGCUGACCUCAAGUGAUCCACCCGGCUCGGUCUCCCAAAGUGCUGGGAUUACAGGCGUGAGCCACGGUGCCCGGCCACAGUCAAAGUUUUUCCUCAAGCCCCUGUGAUUGCGGAUAAUAGUAAACGCUUUAUAAAUACCUUACACAGAAUGUUUUUUAAAAUAUCACGCAAGGAAUGACAAAAUUACAUGAAUCCUUGAUUUAUACCUAAGUAACAUAUUGUGCAACACAGACUGGGUGUUCUGAAUGUUGCGAUAGUGGCCGAGACUUUCAUUAGGUGAAGGGAGAUCUCAAUUCUCGCGUUUAAGAACCAACACUGGACCGGGCGCGGUGGCUCACGCCUAUAAUACCAGCACCUUGGGAGGCCGAGGCGGACGUAUAAUUUGAGGCCAGGAGUUCGAGACCAGCCUGGCCAACAUGGUGAAACCCUGUCUACUGAAAAUACAAAAUUAGCCGGGCGUGGUGGCGCAUGCCUGUAAUCCCAGCUACUUGGGAGGCUGAGGCAGGAGAAUCGCUUGAGCCCGGGAAGCGGAGGUUGCAGUGAGUCAAGAUCACGCAAUUGCACUCCAGCCUGGGCGACCGAGUGAGACCUUGUCUCAAAACAAAACAAAAAACCAAUACCUUUGAGCCCAUCGGAGCCAUAUUAUUGUGCGUUAGGGGUAGUCACUGGCCACGAGCAUUUUCUCAGGGCAGAGAUCACAUUUCUGCUCUCAGUGGGGCCGGGGUGGGCCGGAAGCCGGAGAGGGACUGGAACGCCGGUCCGGGGAAGCCCCGCGCGCACCGGGGCGCACCCUGCUUCCUAGGGAGGGAGGCUGGGGCGGCAAGGCGGGCGCGGGUGGUCCUUGCCCCGCGCCAGCUCGCCAGGCCACGUCGCUGGCGUUUUUCCAGCGCUGGGUCACCUGCGGGCCGGCGGGUUCCCGCGGCGAACAGCUGGGUGGUAUGGAUACGCCGCUCGAGCCUCCGCAGCGUCAGGUCGCCAGGGUCCGCCCUGCCACUCGCCCCACCUUGAGGUAACUUUUCUUCCGCCUUCUGACUGCGGAAGGAAGGGCCUGGGAGGAAGCAGAAAACCUCACGUGGCUCGGGCUACCUCUGAAGAAAAGAUGAUGGCCCGGUGCGGUGGCUCACGCCUGUAAUCCCAGCACUUUGGGAGGCCGAGUCAGGCGGAUCACCUGAGCAGUGUAAAGAAAGUCUGAAGAAUACUCCAGGAAAAUUGAGGAAACUAAAGCUAUUUCUACUACUGGUCUCAUAAUUGCAAAGCCAGUGCCUACCAUGAUAAGUGCUCUCUUACUUGGAAGAAGACGUAUAAGCCUUUAAGCUUAGUAAACCUUUGGGUUCUGUGCAUUUGGCCAUCAUUCCAGUUGUCAGCAUUGUGCAGGACAGGUACUUGAGGUCUGUUUUUGUGAACCAGGGACCCGAGGCACAGAGCAAGUAAGUGGAUAGAAACAAAUGCUGUAAGAACAAAUAAUUGUAUUUAAAAAUUUAUGAUUUUCAUUUAUUUUUCAGAGGAAGCAUUAAUGAGUAGGUAGUAAUUUCUGGGUAUUAAAAAACCAUCAGAGACAUUUCUUUUUCCUUAUAAAAGAAGUCAUAACAGUGAACAUUUA
RNAcentral lists this long non-coding RNA (2964 nucleotides) under Homo sapiens (human). Its description in RNAcentral is "HSALNT0335111". The stretch from base 1816 to 1963 matches the Rfam family "Metazoan signal recognition particle RNA". Lineage: Eukaryota; Metazoa; Chordata; Mammalia; Primates; Hominidae. The record is from RNAcentral.